CUCUUGUACAAAGAAACUUGCGAAGCGCCAUGGCAACUUCCUCUGCUCACCUCUCGUUUCUCGCCGGAAGGUUCUCCUCCGAACAGAUCGUAUUACUUCUUCACAGAGGUGAAUUUCAUCCGGCAAUUACCCUGUUCCGGUGCUCGGCUGGAAAGAGCGGAUCCUUCACGCGGUGGAGAAGGCGCUAUUGGUUUCUGAUUUUGGACCCAAAAUUACAGUUAGAAUUGUUGAGAAGCUAAGAGAGGAUAUUUUGUCUGGGAAACUCAAAUCAGGAAGCGAGAUCUAUUAAGUUUCUGAUUCACCGGAGAACACGACGGAGAACAAGAAGAAGAGGAGAGCAAUUAAAGCUCUAACAAACUUUCUUAACAGAAAAUAAAUGUGUAUUACAAUUUACAAAGCUUAGUUUAGGAAGGUAAUCCUAAUCUUAUACAAACUUCUCAUUAACCAAGAGGCUUUUUUAUGAUGCUUUCUUGAUGUUUUAGGAAGGCGCAUCGGAUGAGAUAGAGAGGCUCCCGAAAUUCAAGUUUCUGAUGGUAAGAAACUCAGAGAAAGUGAGCGGUGAGAUACGAGAAACUCAUGGAGGGAUAAUGACUAAAAUUGGUGUUGAUUCUCCAACCAAGCGUGUGCUAUCAAGCGACGAAGCUGUAAGUUUAGUAACCCAUCCGGAUCCAAAACAAAUGAAUCUUUGCCUCUUUCAGGAAUGCUGCAUUUGUCUCUGUGACUAUGAAGAUGGAACAGAGCUGAGAGAACUUUCAUGCAGACACCAUUUCCAUGAAGCGUGCAUAGACAAAUGGCUACGUAAUAAUGCCACUUGCCCUCUCUACAAAUUCAACAUCCUCAAAACCAAUGAACAAAGUGGCAACGAUGCAGUAUGAUCAAAGUUUUCUGCAUUCAGAUUCAUUUGUCGGUGAUCUUAGACUCUCUCUCUCCAUUGUUAAAGUUUAGAGCUUUAGUAUCGCGGUGGAAACUUGAGACAACCGAGUGAGGGGGCUUGAGCUCUUUCUCUAAUAUUUUGUUGUGUAAAUGUUUAUUAAUAAUAACAUGUCGAGAUUAUAAUUUUAUAUAAUAAUUAAGGUUUUGACGUGUG
Non-coding RNA from Camelina sativa (false flax), 1087 nucleotides. Lineage: Eukaryota; Viridiplantae; Streptophyta; Magnoliopsida; Brassicales; Brassicaceae. The record is from RefSeq and is a predicted model, not a curated record.